RNAcentral lists this transfer RNA (67 nucleotides) under Panulirus argus (Caribbean spiny lobster). Its description in RNAcentral is "tRNA-His". It matches the Rfam family "tRNA". Rfam says of the family: Transfer RNA (tRNA) molecules are approximately 80 nucleotides in length. Their secondary structure includes four short double-helical elements and three loops (D, anti-codon, and T loops). The record is from RNAcentral. Lineage: Eukaryota; Metazoa; Arthropoda; Malacostraca; Decapoda; Palinuridae.
AUUUGAGUAGUUUAAGUAAAACGUCAGUUUGUGGAGCUGAAUAUGUAGAAUGGACUUACCUCAAAUC